This is a long non-coding RNA of Panicum virgatum (switchgrass), 1433 nucleotides long. RefSeq lists it as uncharacterized. NCBI's taxonomy places the organism in Eukaryota, Viridiplantae, Streptophyta, Magnoliopsida, Poales, Poaceae. The record is from RefSeq and is a predicted model, not a curated record. The transcript has 2 exons.
UAACUCUUUACAAAAGAAAAUCAAAUUCUUGAAUUCAUAAUAACACAUAGAUCUGUGCAUACAUUGUACUUUCAUUUUUUUGAAAGAAAAUGCUUUGUACUUUUCACUCAAAUAAGCACAAAAUUAAGUAAUGAAUGAAUAGGAGACUGCUAGAAGGUGGAUUUUUAUGCAGAUGCACAUAGAUCUGUGCAUAAGAGGAUGUUUCUAGUCAGUUCUAACGACCAUCCAAGAAAAAAUUCUUCAUAGUGCAAGGGAAGGGACACAGCUAGGCUUGUGAAUGUGGGGAGAAUAAUGCUAGAACUGUGCGCUGUUAGGCUUCUCAGCAGUGUAUGUGAUUGUGUAUAGUCUUUUAAUAAUUUAUGAAUUUUAGAGCUACUUCUUUUCUGGUGUAGGGCAAGAAUAUUAGAAUUUUGUCUGAAAUUCUUGCAUAAGUCUGCAUGGAUGCUAACUAAACCUUCCCCAUGAGCUCUCUGACAGUCUGACUGUGAGACCCCUCUUCUCAUUCUUCUCCAUGCCUGUUAAUUUGUUAGAAGCAAAAAAUUGGUUUUUUGAGAUGACUUAUUGUUUUGGUUAUAGAAAGCAGUCCAUGAGCUCUCUGAUAGUCUGACUGUAAGACCCCUCUUCUCAUUCUCCUCCAUGCCUGUUAAUUUGUUAGAAACAAAAAAAAUGGUUGUUUUCAGAUGACUUCUUGUUUUGGUUAUAGAAAGCAGAUUACUCUGGAGUGUUUUUUUCUAAUUAAUAAGAUCUUCGUGGUUACCAAUGGAUUUUUUUUCUGUUUAGAUGAAUAUCACUAGGUCCAUUGCUCCGUGCAAGGUAUAGAUGGCAUACAUACAGGUUGGUGAAGCCCGUGAGGAAUUGACAUAUAUGGUCUGAUGAUUGUCAUGAUUGAGGGUCUGAACCAACAACCAACAGAUCUGUAUAGAUGUUAUCUAAAUUCUUGGUAAAUUAGCGGUUUACUAAUGCUAUGGCCCAACCAGAAGUCCAGAACUUAGAUUUUUCAAACAUUAUUGUCAGCAAUGAUUUCAGAGGAUGUAAUCAGUAGACUGUCUAACUGCUAUCAUCAAUGAUUAUAUUGGAGGAAUAUAAUGAUGAGAUCGCAAACUAAACUCUGAAUUUCGGUGGGGAAGGGUGACGGCAACAAGGCAUCGCAAGUGGCAGACUGCCAGGAAUUUAUUGCAGAACGGUAAAAGAACUGAAACUUCUGCGCAUUUGGAUUGGAAAGGCACGCAUGGUUACUUUCUUGUACAUUAUUUUUUUCGACAAACUUUCUUGUACAUUAUUAUUACUCUUGUAUAUUUUUGCAACCAAUUAUCUCAAUACCAGUUGUUAACAAUAAAUAAAUUUGUAAAGGAAUUCCUAUUAGUGUACACUCUUUGUAUAUUGCAGAACUUCAUUUUACAACUCACUUUGGAUGUAUUACAUAGUAUUAUUUA